This 440-nucleotide ribosomal RNA is filed under the name uncultured bacterium. Its description in RNAcentral is "partial 16S ribosomal RNA". It matches the Rfam family "Bacterial small subunit ribosomal RNA", at positions 338 to 795 of the family's 1533-position model. The record is from RNAcentral.
CCUACGGGAGGCAGCAGUGGGGAAUAUUGCACAAUGGGGGAAACCCUGAUGCAGCGACGCCGCGUGAGUGAAGAAGUAUUUCGGUAUGUAAAGCUCUAUCAGCAGGGAAGAAAAUGACGGUACCUGAUUAAGAAGCCCCGGCUAACUACGUGCCAGCAGCCGCGGUAAUACGUAGGGGGCAAGCGUUAUCCGGAUUUACUGGGUGUAAAGGGAGCGUAGACGGCAGGGCAAGUCUGGAGUGAAAGGCCGGGGCUUAACCCCGGAACUGCUCUGGAAACUGUGCAGCUGGAGUGCAGGAGAGGUAAGUGGAAUUCCUAGUGUAGCGGUGAAAUGCGUAGAUAUUAGGAGGAACACCAGGGGCGAAGGCGGCUUACUGGACUGUAACUGACGUUGAGGCUCGAAAGCGUGGGGAGCAAACAGGAUUAGAUACCCCUGUAGUC